UACGUAGGGUGCAGGCGUUAAUCGGAAUUACUGGGCGUAAAGCGUGCGCAGGCGGCUCCUUAAGUCAGAUGUGAAAUCCCCGGGCUUAACCUGGGAACUGCAUCCGAUACUGGAUGGCUUGAAUCCGGGAGAGGGAUGCAGAAUUCCAGGUGUAGCGGUGAAAUGCGUAGAUAUCUGGAGGAAUACCGGUGGCGAAGGCGGCAUCCUGGACCGGCAUUGACGCUGAUGAGCGAAAGCUAGGGGAGCAAACGGG
RNAcentral lists this ribosomal RNA (253 nucleotides) under uncultured bacterium. RNAcentral's name for it is "partial 16S ribosomal RNA". It matches the Rfam family "Bacterial small subunit ribosomal RNA", at positions 524 to 776 of the family's 1533-position model. The record is from RNAcentral.